CUUGAUCUAGGAAAACACUCUGCGGUAAUUUUUAAGAAAAAUUCACAAACAAAACAGCAGGCUAAAUUGGGUAUCCGAUGAGUUGAAAUUCGGGUUUCGGGUUCGAGUUCAUGUCCUUUAGGUCCUAAAAAUAAGAGGGGUUGUACUAGAGAUAGUAGCAACCGUGGAAAUCAUAAGACCUCAUUUGCUCUACGGGGUCUUGGGAGUCGUUUUAAAUCUUCCGGGAACUCGCGAAUUCCUUUAGCAGAGUCCAUGGAGGUGAUGGUGGAGUUACUUUCUCCCCAAGGUCCUAGUAAAACUAUGAAUGUCAAACUGGAUACCGCGGGUCUAAGUAUGGGUUGAGAUACUGUCUCUCAACAGUAAGGAAUGGUUUCCUAUUUUCUGUUAAUUUUUUCAUGAAUUGUACAAUAUUAUCUUGGAAUUGUUAGGGUUGUGCAGUUGUUAAAUUUCCAAGAAUUUUUCGAGAACAGAACUUGGAGUAAAAACCAGAUAUUGUUAGUUUGCUCAAGCCAAAACUUAGUGGGGCCAAGGCAGAUAUGAUUAUUGCAAACUUAGGUUUCCAAUUUUCUCACCGUGUGGAGGCAAUUGGAUAUUCUGGGGGUAUAUGGCUUGGCUAGAAAGACUCAAUCCGUCUUGAGGUGGUUCGCAGUCAUCCUUAGUUCAUUCUGACUCGGGUUUGGUAAAUGUCUUCUCCACAAUCGAUUUUCAUAUCCUUUGUGUAUGGUAGUCCAAAUCGGCAAAUACGUAACGAUUUUUAGAAGGAUUUAGGGUCUUUGAUUCUAUUUGGACAAACUCUGUGGGUUGCUAUUAGAGAUUUCAGCGCAAUCCUCUCGUCUUCUAAGAAAUCUAGUGGCCUCUCUAGAGGAAGGAGAUGUCCCCAUUUUUGAGACUUUGUGGAUUCAACCGAACUUCAUGAUUUAGGGUUUAGAGGUCCUCCUUUCACUUGGCAUAAAGGUGCUCUAUUCGAGAGAUUAGAUCGUUUUUUAAGUAAUAAAACUUGGGUCCGAAGCUUUCCCAACAACUUGGUUACCCACCUUCUAAAGAUUAAGUCUGAUCAUCGGCCGCUUCUUCUGGCUCAAAAUCUAGAACUUAUUCUACCUCGAGGGAGACCUUUUCGAUUUUUGGCUAGAUGGAUUGAACAUCCUGAUUUUGAUAUUUUUAAAUGAAAAUUGGGUCUUCAUUGGUAACAUGUUUGAAUCUCUGGUUAAGCUCACUCGUAGUCUUAAGGAGUGGAAUAAACAAGUUUACAAGCAUAUCACCACUCGUAAGCAAACCUUUGUCAGUAAAAUUGCCAAUAUCCAAAGGAAAAUAGACUUCUCGGGCUUGAACCGACUAGCUCAGAUUGAUUUGAACCUUAGACAAGAGCUGAAAAGCAUGCUACAUCACAAGGAACUUCUUUGAAAACAAAAAGCGAGGUGCGAUUAGUUGAAAUUGGGGGACCGAAAUACUAAGUUUUUCUACACCCGUACCUUGCAAAGAAUGAAGAAUAACCAUAUAUCUACCAUUUAUGAUUCUGACGGUAAUUAGAUUUAUGAUUUGGAGGCCAUUGAAGCUGAGGUGAAUGACCUCUUUCAAAGUUUGUAUGGGGAGAUUCCUAGGCCUUUGGGUACCUUUCUACCUAGCAAAUUUCCACAACUUGAUCCCGAAGACAUUAAUUUCUUGGGAAAGUCAGUUACAAAUGUUGAAAUUAAGGAGGCUCUCUUUGAUAUGGCACCUUUUAAAGCUCCGAUAGUAAUGGUUUUCAUGCAUUCUUCUUCCAAAAACAGUGGGUUACAAUUGGUGGAGCUGUUUGUGAUUGGGUUGGGAGGGUCUUUGAUGGAAACAUUAUUGACCCUGAUCUGAAUAAUACCUAAGGUCCAAAAUCAGAAAGGUUUUGGUCAGUUCCGUACAAUAAGUUUCUGCUCUGUCCUCUACAAGCUAGUGAUGAAGGUAGGAACAUCAUUGACAACAAUAUCAUUGCACAAGAUGUAAAUUAUUUCAGAAGGAGUCAGAGAAAAUGAAAGUGGAUGACGAUUAAAAUUGACUUGGAAAAAGCCUAUGAUAGAGUGAAGUGAGACUUCAUCAGUGUUGCCCUCCGAGCUGUAGGUAUUCCUGAGUACCUCAAGAAUGUUAUAAUGUCCUCUAUCUUUAAUUCUAACAUGCAGGUUAUGUGGGAUGGACUUCAUUUAUCUAAAUUCAGGUCUGCCAGAGGUAUCCGAUAAGGUUUUCCUCUUUCCCUACUUGUUUGUGUUGUGCAUGGAAUGGCUUGGCCAUUUAAUUCAUUCAGCUAUUUCGGAAGGAAAGUGGUGUCCAAUACAUCUAUCUCGAUCUGGACCAGCUAUCUCGCACUUGUUUUUUGCUAAUGACUUUGUCAUUUUCAGUAAAACAGACUUGCAGUAUGGUAGAGUUCUAAAAGAUAUUUUGGACAGUUCUUGUGAGUUUUCUAGGCAUAAAAUUAAUGCUAGGAAGACUAACAUCUUUUUCUCUAAAGGGGUGGAUCUUUUUAUGGUUGAUAUGAGUAACACUCUGUUUGGUUUUCAAAGAGUUCAUAAUCUCUGUCAUUACCUUGGAGUUCCCCUUUUUCAUUAGAGGGUGACAAACAACAUUUUGCAAUUUAUGGUUGAGAAAGUACGUGGGAAAUUACAGAAUUGGGAAGCCAAAAAACUCUCUAUCGCUGGUCGUAUCAUUUUAGCUCAGUCGGUUCUUUUAUCCAUUCCUAGCUACUUCAAGCAAUCCAUUAUAAUACCUAGGAAAAUUAGUGAUGAGAUUGGAAGUUUGGUAAAACAAUUUAUUUGGGGUUCUUCAGAUAGGAAAAAGAGGAUGUCUCUUGUGGGAUGGGAUUCCAUCUAUCAAUCUAAAUGGUGUGGUGGUCUUGGUCUGAGAAAACUUCACGAUCAAAAUAUCUCCUUUCUGCUGAAGUUGGGGUUCAAUAUUAUGUCUGAUAAAGAAGCUUUAUGGGUUCAUAUGUUUAGAGCAAAGUAUCAAAUGAAGGAUAACUUACGGGACUGUGUUGCUCGGGAUAAGAGUUCUUUUCUUUGAAAAUCUCUUUUAAAAAUUCGGUCUCUUUCACAGGAGAAUUUAUUCUGGUCUGUAGGAUAUAGUAAUAAAAUUCACUGCUGGAAAGAUAAUUGGAUUCCAAGUAGAGGUGCUCAUGGUCCGGGCCGGGUUCAGGCCGGGCCGGGCCCAAGAAAAAAUUUUGGCCCGAGUCCUAGGCCCGGCCCGGCCCGAAAUUUGGGCCUAGAAUUUUGCCCAGGCCCAGCCCGGGAAAAAAUUCAUAAGCCCGGGCCCGGCCCGUUUUUUAAAUAAAUACCAAAAAAUUAUUUUAAAAAUUAAAACAAAAAUUAAAAAAGUAUUUUAAAAAUAUUUUAUAAUUAAAAAAAUUUUAAAAAUAUUUAAAAUUAAAAAAAUUUUAAAAAAGUAUUUUAAAAGUAUUUUAAAAUUAAAAAAAUAAAAAAAUAAAAAUAUUUAUUAUAUUCGGGCCGGGCCGGGCCGAGCCCAGGCCAAAAAAGUGGUGCCCGAGGCCCGGCCUAUUUUUUUAUCGGGCCUCAUUUUUUGCCCAAGCCAAUAUUUCGGGCCUAUAUUUUUACCCAAACCCUCCCAUAUUUCGGGCGGGCCGUCGAGCCGGGCCGGGCCACCCGGCCCAUGAGUAGCUCUAAUUCCAAGUAUAUGGCCACCGGUUAGACAUGUUCAUACUAAUGCUAAGCUUGACUUAAACUGUUUUCUCAACGAGAUGAUCACUGAGGAAGGUUCGUGGAACUUGGAUUUAUUUUGGGUUUGGUUAUCGGAAGAUGGGAUCCUACUUAUUAAGGGCAUCCUUCCUCCACAUCCUUUUGAAGGAUCUGAUAAAAUCUCUUGGAGCCACACUUCGUCUGGUGCUUUUUCUAUUAAAACAACUUAUAAGGUUUUAAAGGAAGGUGAUUAGAAUCUGAAAGAUGAGAAAUGAAAUACUGUUUGGAAGACUCUAGAUCCCCAAAGGGAUCAUGUCUUUAUCUGGACUGCUUUAUAAGGAAGACUCUUCAACAAUGUGGAAAGAGUCAAAAGAUGGUUAGCGACUGGUCCCUUCUGUCCUCUUUGUGGUUAUCACUCAGAAGACAUUUUGCAUAUUCUCAGAGACUAUACAGUUGCUAAGGAAGUAUGUAAUCAGGUCAACCCAGGUAAUCAUCUAUCGAAUUUUUUCUCUAAUAAUACACAUGACUAGUUUUUUUUUUUUUAAUAUGCAAGAUAGUAGUAAGAUCCACGAGGGAGGAGCUAGUUGGGCUUGUCUUUUUGGGUUACUCAUUUGGCGCUUAUGGAAUAACCGUAAUUUAUUCAUCUUUCAAGGAAGAUCAUAGAGCUCGAGGGAGAUAGUUUAAGUUUCUUAUAGUUGGGCAAUUCAUUUCUUCUCAUCAUCUCGAGAAGUACCGAUUGACUGCCUCGAACGUUCUUUUGAAGUGCAUACUAGUAGGGAAUGAAUUUUUCUUAAUAUUGAUGGUGCAGUGCAACUGGAUUCUGGAUACGUUGCUGUUGAGGGAGUUGUUCGUGGUAAACAUGGAGAUUGGAUCGUUGGCUAUCAUUGGUACCUUGGAAAAUGUUCAAUCUUUGAUCUGAACUGUGGGGCAUUUUUGAAAGACUCAAGCUUAUUCAACUUAGAGGCCAAGAUCAAGUUAUCAUUCAAUUUGACAGUUUGGAAGUUGUUAAAGCCAUCCUUGGAAGCACUUCCAUUGUUUCGAACUCAGCCUUUAUUAGACGAAUCCAAAAUAUCUUAACUCUGGAAAACCAGCGGUUUUUGUGGUACAUCCCGAAAGAACAGAAUCAAGUUGCAGAUUGCUUGGCUAAACAAGCUUUGACCGGAAAAGACGAAUUGUAGGAGUUUGAGGACCCACCUAUGGUGGUCUGCACUUCUUAUGAGAUGGACAAGUCUAAGGGUGAUCUUUCUUUUUAGAAUGUUGUUAUCUAAUUAGUUUGGUAUUAUUUUAUUAUAACCAAAAAAUGAAUAAAUGUUGAAAAAAAAUUGUUGAAAAUUUAAGAAUCGACAAUUUAAGUACUAAAUUUAAGUUAUAAGAUUGAUUUGA
Molecule: long non-coding RNA, 5030 nt
Organism: Gossypium raimondii (Peruvian cotton)
Lineage: Eukaryota; Viridiplantae; Streptophyta; Magnoliopsida; Malvales; Malvaceae
Exons: 2
Source: RefSeq, a predicted model, not a curated record